This 8024-nucleotide long non-coding RNA is filed under the name Brassica napus (rape). Its description in RNAcentral is "long non-coding RNA (BNAP_LNC007544)". Lineage: Eukaryota; Viridiplantae; Streptophyta; Magnoliopsida; Brassicales; Brassicaceae. The record is from RNAcentral.
AGUUCGUGAGAGCAUGGGGACAUACGCAAACUCCUUAGCCAUGAGAGAGAUCGACUUGAUGAGCUCAUCCAUGGAUGGGAGUAUAACGGAACUAAGCGCUUCUUGAAGCAUCAAACCAUGGGAAAGGUUGUUGAUGUCCUCAGAGGUGCAAGCGAAAUGGAAGAACUCGAGAACCUUAGCGAUCUCAGGGUGUGACUCACACUUUUGUUUCAAGAAAUACUCAACGGCCUUGACAUCGUGGUUGGUUACUUUCUCGAUCUUCUUGACUUCCAAAGCGUCGUCCAUGCUGAACCCAUCGAUGAUGCCUUGCAAGUAAACCUCAGCUUCUUUGCUAAAGCUUGGAACUUCGGUGACUUGGGGAAUUUUCGAAAGCUUAAGAAGCCAUUUGAUCUAAAUACAAAAACAAUCUUCUUCUCAAUCAAUGAAUAUUAAUAGUAACAAGGGAGGUUCAAUCACAAGAAGUAAACUAACUACCUCGACAAGUACUCGGAAGUAGAUCAAACCAAACUCGCUCAUGGAAGAAGCCAAGUCCUUGACUUUCCCCCAGUAACGUCCGUCUAGAGGCGAUAACGCCGUUAAGUUUGACAUCUCCAAGUCUCUUGAGCUUCCCGUGGACAUUGCUACCACCUAAAGUAUCCAUUUUUUUUCGCCAAUUCGCAUCGGUAACAAUUAGAUUACAUCCGCAACGAAGCAUUUCGACAUAAACCCACAAUUAGAUUACCUUUCUUGAAGUCGUUAGCUUGAGAGAAUCAGGAGAAGAGAGAGAGAAUGAAACUGUGGGAAGCGGAUGGUGAGGAGCUAAGCAGAGCGAUUUUGACGGGUUUAAGAGUUUUCCGGUGGUGGGUGUGAAGCCGAAGCAAGGAGUUAAUGCCUUGGAUGAAAAAUUGAGCUCCAUUUGUGAUUCAAGGUUUCGGAAGCACGAUGACGACGAAGGGAGUGUGAAAAGCUUGGAGCUUUAGGGUUUUAGGGGGAAUCUGAUUAAACUCAGGCGCUUUUCUGUAAAUUGCAUUUCUACCCCUGCUUUCUCUACGUAUUUACGCUUACAGCUACAGAUUAUUAAUUUUUUUACUGGUUCAACCUCAAUUUUAUAGAUAGUUGAAUUUGUUCUACAUCACUGGAGAAAUGAUUCAUAAUAACAUGAUCAAAUAUAACGGAUUACAUUUAUCGAAUUUUGAUAGUGAAAAUAAAUCAAUUAGUGAAGAAAGAAUAAACUUAAUUGGUUUGAACCCCAUUACAUUAAAAAAAAAAAUGUUUUGACAUGAUUACAUAAUAUAUACAUGUAUACAUAUGUAUGUUUAAUUGUUAUUUGUUACUAAUAUUUAAAACCUGUAGUCUUUAAUGUUGUAUUUUCCCGUCAAAAAGAAGAUAAUAAUGUGUCCAAAUAAUCACUUCCAAAUUCCUCAAACUCAAACAAACCAAACACAUCACAUUUAUCUUCUCCCCUGCUAGCCAUUUUCUUAUAAUCAGUCUCAACUUCUUGAAACGUUAUACAAUCUUCAUCCCUUCUUUGUCUCUUUCUUGAACCUAACCAAGCUUCUUCGUUCCCAACCAAUCCACAGAUGUCGAAGCUAAUUUCCUGAGUUGAACAAUAACUAAGGGCACAACUGUUGUCGACCACCCCAUCAACGACUUUAUCAUCAUAAGCCCUAAUCGCAUAUUUUCCUAUUUCACAGUGGUUUCUUAAAGGUUGAGAGGUACUUGAGCGGUUUAUCGGGUAGUAACUUGAGCCGCAAUCCAUUUCCAUAGCUUUUAUAACUGUCUCGAGUUGAAAAUUUGUGUGAGCUCUUUGGACGCCUCUGAUUUUAACCGCGGCUUUAUCGUAAGCCAUAGCUGCUUCUUCUGCAGUGUGGAACGUCCCGAGCCAAACUCUAACACCGUUUCUCGUCGAAUCCCUGAUCUCUGCUGCGAACUUCCCCCACGGACGCCUCCUUACUCCCCUGUAUUUCCUUGUUUUGCAAGAAACCGAAGAAGGCAAAGAACGUGAACCGGUAGGGUUGGUUAACGGCUCAUGAUUGGUUUCGCUUGGGAAAGAAGCAAUGGAGUCGAGAAUCUCGGCCCAUUCCUUGGCCUCCAUUGACAUAUCUAUGGUUGGAAGGCUUCCUUUUGAUUCUUUUGAUAUGUCAUCGAGUGUUGGCAACGCUUCCCAAGUCGUGGAAACUUCUUGAACAUGGACUGAUCAUUUUUAUUAAAUAUUUUUGCUUUUGUAUAUAUAUUGUUUUAAAAAAAAGAAAAAAAUUUUACCCUCCCGCAACCGCCUGCAACCGCAAACGCUAGCACUAAUACUUGAGGAUACAAAGACUCUAGAGGAUUCAGAGGUUUCGGGUUAUCAGUUGGUUUAGCUGACUGCUCUGGUUAUUUCCGGUUCAAUUGGAGUAGCUCUGGAUGAAGACAUGUGUUCUAUCUUUUGCGUGUUUAUAAGUCUCAGUCUCUUGGUGAUAAUGAGAUGAGCUGAGAUAGAGUUGUAAAGAGAGAAGAAGAAACACUUUGUAUCCGUACGGUGGCUCAAGUUUCAGGGUCACCGGGGUUCAGUGGAUGGAUUGCCGUAAGAGAGUCGGCCGGUGAGUAUAUAGCAGCUUCUCCAUCUUGGAAGAGUGUGGUGAACACCGGAUAAACAGUGUUUUGUCUUUCUAUAGUCUUUACUUUCUUGACACAUGAGAGAUUGAUUAGAGAGAGAGAGUUUGAGAGAAAUCUAGGAUCGAAGUUUAACAGAAAUCAAAUGAAUAAAUGUGGUUCGUUAAACUAAUAAUUAGGAUUGAGAGGUCAGUAAUAUGUUUGUUCGCAACAAAAUCCAUAAUAAUAAAUACAAAACUAAGCAAGAUUCAACUGCUUAACAAAGUAUAAAAUAAAUAUUAUAGAUACGAAUUCAAAAGCAACAUGUUUAUUUUCUUGUGGUUUUACUUCGGUUCUUGAAAAGCUAUAACAGAAGUCUAACAUUCAUUUUAGUUUCACGACUAGAAUAGUCUUAUCCAAUUCAUUUUCUUGUGGUCGGUUUGUGUUGUAAAACCAACUUUAAACCAUUCCCCCUCCCAAAAUUACUAAUUCAGAUAAUCUCAGCCUGAGCAACAACCAGAUGAUUUAACAACAGAAAUAUCAUCUUUGCUACCUAAAUCAAUGGUCUGUCCUUUAGACAAAGACGUCGGAUCUCCAGUGCCCUCAAAAGCUUUACGGCUCAUAACACGACAGAUCUUAGUCAAGACAUGAGUGAAAGCUUGCUCAACAUUUGUAGCAUCAAGAGCAGAUGUUUCCAUAAAGAACAUGUUCUCUCUUUCAGAGAAAGAUUUAGCUUCGUCCUCUUGAACUGCACGAAGGUGAUGAAGAUCAGCUUUGUUUCCAACAAGCAUGAUCACGAUGUUGGCAUCGGUAUGGUCACGAAGCUCUUUGAGCCAUUGUUCAACGUUCUCGAACGUUACAUGUUGAGUUAUGUCGUAUACUAGAAGAGCCCCCACUGCUCCUCUGUAGUAUGCACACGUGAUUGCUCUGUACCUAUAUAACAACAAACACACAAUUGCUCAAUUACAAAGCUGGAGAAAAACAAUAUAAAGAGAACAAGCAUAUCUAGUAGGUAUCCAAGAGGUCAUGAAUUCAAUUCCCCUUGGAAAGGGUCUUCUCAUUAGGAGAGUUAUUUAAAAUGGUUUGGGCUUUGCCCUACAAGAUGUACAAGCUUAAUGGAAAUUUAACCAGAUAAAACCAUUGUAAUUUGGUUUGUAAUAUUUUAAUUUGGCUUUGGUAUAUUGGGUUUUUAAUACCAAAAUAAGUAAAUAUUGAUUCUUUAUUUUAAUAAAUAGAUAUAGGUUCAUUUACAUAUAUGUAAUAUUAAAACUCAUAACAAAUUUUGGAUUAAUAAAUUACACAAAAAUCAGUUACGAUUUUAUUUAUAUGAAAAACUAACUGGUUACAAUAUUUGAUAAACUGAAAAAUAUAAACAUUUUUGGUUUGGUUCGGUCAUGUUGCAAUUAUUAACCGACGUAAAACAACACAUAACCAAGAAAAAAACAGAACACUGAGGGAAAAAACAGACAGGUCACGAGGAUUUUGUUUACCUUUCUUGACCGGCGGUGUCCCAAAGCUGAGCUUUGAUGAUUUUCUCGUCGACAUGAACACUUUUCGUGGCGAACUCGACACCAAUGGUAGCCUUUGACUCGAUACUAAAUUCAUUUUUGGUGAAUCGAGACAAAAGGUUUGUUUUUCCGACGCUGGAGUCUCCGAUCAAAACUAGUUUGAAGAGAUAGUCGUAAUCUUCAUCGGCUAUGUACUCUAGGUUCAUUUACAUAUAUGUAAUAUUAAAACUCAUAACAAAUUUUGGAUUAAUAAAUUACACAAAAAUCAGUUACGAUUUUAUUUAUAUGAAAAACUAACUGGUUACAAUAUUUGAUAAACUGAAAAAUAUAAACAUUUUUGGUUUGGUUCGGUCAUGUUGCAAUUAUUAACCGACGUAAAACAACACAUAACCAAGAAAAAAACAGAACACUGAGGGAAAAAACAGACAGGUCACGAGGAUUUUGUUUACCUUUCUUGACCGGCGGUGUCCCAAAGCUGAGCUUUGAUGAUUUUCUCGUCGACAUGAACACUUUUCGUGGCGAACUCGACACCAAUGGUAGCCUUUGACUCGAUACUAAAUUCAUUUUUGGUGAAUCGAGACAAAAGGUUUGUUUUUCCGACGCUGGAGUCUCCGAUCAAAACUAGUUUGAAGAGAUAGUCGUAAUCUUCAUCGGCUAUGUACUCUCCCAUUAUUGACUUUUCAGAAACCCAAAAAAUGAAAAUAUAGAACAAGAACUAAAAUCUUUGGUUGAUGUAAAUAGUUUUGAUAUGAAAAUAUAACAAGAACUAAUAGUUUUAAUCUUUGGUUGAACCAAAAUCGGCUCUGUACUCUGCCAAGGAAUAUUUCUUCAAUAUAAAUAGUUUUGAUCAAUUUAAAUCACUCGGAAACUUUUCCAUAAAUUAAAGGAUAUCAAUAUGUAGGAAGAUAUUAGAGAAGAGGUUAUGUAUGGUAUGUGAUAAAUUGUUGUUUUGAUUUUAUGACAUUUUCAAUUAAUGUUUUAAGAUAUUAUUGUAAAAGACAAUUAAAAUAUGAAGUAGAUAUUAAGAUAACAUGUGUCCAUGUAAAUGGUAACAAUGAAAAAAAUAUUACAUAUCAAAGCUGUGAAUAUGACAAAAAAUUUCUUAACAUUAUUUAGCAAUUUUGUUUCCUUACUCUUUGCAUUCACAUUUGCCUAGAUUUUGUACCAUAAACACUUGACUUUAAAAAAUACAAACCCCUCAAAUUAAAAGAAAAUGUUCAACUUGUAAACUCUACAUCAUUUGACUCUAAUGUAACAAAUUUUCUUUUUAUGACCUGCGGAGGUGUUUAAUUGGAAUUUUAGUUCGUUUUUUUGGUUCGUUUUUUACUUUUUGGUAUUUCAACUUAUAAAAAUUAGCUAUCAAAUUAAUAUCACAUAUAUAUUUUGGUGUGGUUCAGCUUAUAUACUAUCGUUUUCGGAUAGUUCUAUUUUAUACCACAGCACUAUGUUUAUCUUUUAUAAUAUUUUGUGAAUUUUUGUAUAUAUGAUUUAGAAGGCUUUCUACGUUAAAAAUAAUUAGUAAAAGUAAAAAUUUAAUAAUUAUGAUAAUUUUUAUAAAAUAAAAUAACAAAGUUAGUAAUAUCAUAAUAUUAUUAAAAACUAAUUUUAACACUAUCAACAAAAGUUAUAUUUGAUUUCAUUUGAUGAAAAUAAGAACAACAAAAUAACUUUUAACUUAAAACAAAUUACUAAAAUCAACAUCUUACAUAUCAAUAAAAUAAAUUAUAUAUAUAUAUUGUUAAUUAUAUGUAAUUAUGUAUAAUUAUAUUACAAUAUUGUAUUUAAUCGGUUUAUUUUGUUUAUUUGGUUCAAUCGAUUUAUAUAUCCAAGUUAUAUUCAUAUAAGUUGGUUUUAAUUGGUUCGAUUUUACUGUAUUGUACAAAACUUAAAUUGUCUACUUAUACCAAUAUUGUUUUAUUGGUUGGAGUAUCGUUGAACGAUAUAAUUCAUAAAUAAACAGGGCCACAACUUAUAAUUCAGGACUACUAAAUCAAAAGAGAGUGAAUUUAAUUAAUCGAUGAUGUCAAAAUCUGAAAGAGAAAACAUAAAACAACAGUACAAGAUUAUUCUCACCGUUUUCAUCCAUCUAUGAAUUGACGGACUCUCUCCCCAUUCAUUUGGAAAAAAAAAGACAAAUAAUAAUACAACAGCACAUCUUUUCACCAAUUUGAUCACCAUCAUCAAUGUCCAAAUUGCAGAGCAUCAUCGACGGCCAAAGCCAAUGAAGCAGCAGCACCAACAUAUGUGUGUGGAGUUAACCUCAAAAGUUGAGUUUUCGCUUCUUCAGGCAAAUCCAAACCUUUAAUAAACUCUCUUAUGCUUUCUUCAUUCACAGCUCUUCCUCUUGUUAGCUCCUUCAGCUUCUCAUACGGCUCUGGAACACCGUACCUCCUCAUCACCUUUUAUCAUAAUACACCAUGACAAUUCCAUGAACAUGGAGUAGCUUGAACGUUAUAAAAGACUAGAAAGUCAAUAGAAAACUUACAGUCUGUAUCGGUUCAGCGAGGACUUCCCAAGUUUGAUCCAAAUCUUCUAUUAACCGAGCUUCAUUAACCUACAUCAAGAAACAUUCUUAGCCUAUGACAAAUGGAAACCUUUCUUAGGACUUACGGUAAUAAUACCUGAAGCUUCCUGAUUCCUUGAAUCGCACUCUUGUAAGCUAGAAGAGAGUGCCCUAAAGCUCCACCCAUGUUUCUCAACACAGUUGAAUCGGUUAAGUCACGCUGCACAUUUUACCAGGCUUAGCUUAUAUUCACACACAUUGCUCUAACAGAGAUUACAAAGUAAAUGAAGAAAUGCUCAAACCUGCAUUCGUGAAAUAGGAAGCUUCAUACUGAGAAAAGUAAGCUCAGCGUUAGCUUUCCCUAGGUUCCCUUCACUGUUCUCAAAGUCAAUAGGGUUCACUUUGUGAGGCAUUGUCGACGAUCCGAUCUCACCAGCUUUAGUUAUCUGCUUGAAAUACCCUAGAGAUAUGUAGCUCCAUAUAUCUCUAUCGAAAUCAAUCAAGAUAUUGUUGAACUGGCUGAUCGUGUUGAAAAGUCUAGCCAUAUAGUCAUGAGGCUCAAUCUACAAAAACCAUGGGAAACAAUCACUAAAUGAUAUAAUUGUUCAUUUAAAAACUAUAUAGUAUAUACCUGAGUGACGUAUGGGUUAAAUGUUAAACCGAGAGAAGUAACAAACGUUAUCUGCUUGAAAUACCCUAGAGAUAUGUAGCUCCAUAUAUCUCUAUCGAAAUCAAUCAAUAUAUUGUUGAACUGGCUGAUCGUGUUGAAAAGUCUAGCCAUAUAGUCAUGAGGCUCAAUCUACAAAAACCAUGGGAAACAAUCACUAAAUGAUAUAAUUGUUCAUUUAAAAACUAUAUAGUAUAUACCUGAGUGACGUAAACGUAUGGGUUAAAUGUUAAUCCAAGAGAAGUAACAAACUCCUCCGCAACAUGAGGCCAGUCGAUGUCAGGAUAAGCUGAAAUAUGAGCGUUGUAGUUCCCAACAGCACCAGCAAACUUCCCCUUGAUCUUAGUUUCUGCAAGGUAUCUCCUCUCUUCGCUUAACCUCACAGCGAAAAUCGCCAUUUCUUUCCCUUUGUAGGUGAAGCUGGCUGCAUUAGAGAAUCAAAACCAUGAACAUUUCUUCAAAACAAAGAGGUGAAGGUCUUGUCUUUUAGAGGUUUUUUACCUGUCCGUGAGUUCGUGAGAGCAUGGGGACAUACGCAAACUCCUUAGCCAUGAGAGAGAUCGACUUGAUGAGCUCAUCCAUGGAUGGGAGUAUAACGGAACUAAGCGCUUCUUGAAGCAUCAAACCAUGGGAAAGGUUGUUGAUGUCCUCAGAGGUGCAAGCGAAAUGGAAGAACUCGAGAACCUUAGCGAUCUCAGGGUGUGACUCACACUUUUGUUUCAAGAAAUACUCAACGGCCUUGACAUCGUGGUUGGUUACUUUCUCGAUCUUCUUGACUUCCAAAGCGUCGUCCAUG